AUGGCCGCCACCGCCACCGCCUCCACGUCGCUCCCGGCGAGGACCUUCUCAAGCGCCCGCCCCGUCGCAUGGAUCGCCGCCCGGUGCCUCCCAAGAAGGGCAGGAGGAGAGAGCAUGCUGUCGCCCUCCCCUCUCCGCUUCUCCGCCGUGAGAACGCGGCGAGCGGAGGCAGCUCGCGCGUCCGCGGCGGGCGCGGGCGGAGCGCCGGCUGCAGCCCUGCCGGCGGCGCUGCUCUUCGACUGCGACGGCGUGCUCGUGGACACCGAGAAGGACGGCCACCGCAUUUCCUUCAACGAGACGUUCGCCGAGAGAGAAUUAGGCGUGAGCUGGGAUGUUGAACUGUACGGAGAAUUGCUCAAGAUAGGUGGUGGGAAGGAAAGGAUGACAGCAUAUUUCAACAAGACAGAGUGGCCAGCUAAAGCGCCAAAGACUGACGAAGAAAGAAAGGAAUUUGUUGCUUCUCUUCACAAGAGGAAAACAGAAUUGUUUAUGGCCCUAAUUGAGAAGAAGUUGCUUCCUCUCCGUCCAGGCGUUCAAAGGUUAAUUGAUGAAGCUCUAGGAAAAGGGGUGAAAGUUGCAGUAUGCAGUACUUCAAAUGAGAAAGCUGUUUCAGCAAUAGUAUCGUGCUUACUGGGGCCUGACCGAGCAGAAAAGAUUACCAUAUUCGCUGGGGAUGUGGUUCCUCGCAAAAAACCUGAUCCGGCAAUCUACUUGCUAGCGGCAACUACAUUGGAAGUUGAUCCAUCUAGCUGUGUUGUUGUUGAAGACAGUAACAUAGGGCUUUCAGCAGCCAAAGCUGCUGGUAUGAAGUGCAUUGUAACAAAAAGCGGGUACACCGCAGAUGAGGACUUUGUGAUAGCGGAUGCUGUGUUUGAUUGCAUCGGCGACCCUCCAGAAGGGCGCUUUGAUUUAGAGUUCUGCGCCAACCUCCUCCAGAAACAAUUCGUGAGCUGA
RNAcentral lists this ribosomal RNA (954 nucleotides) under Triticum aestivum (bread wheat). RNAcentral describes it as "partial small subunit ribosomal RNA". Lineage: Eukaryota; Viridiplantae; Streptophyta; Magnoliopsida; Poales; Poaceae. The record is from RNAcentral.